Molecule: ribosomal RNA, 446 nt
Filed under: uncultured bacterium
Lineage: Bacteria
Description: partial 16S ribosomal RNA
Rfam family: Bacterial small subunit ribosomal RNA
Source: RNAcentral
CCUACGGGGGGCAGCAGUGGGGAAUAUUGCACAAUGGGGGAAACCCUGAUGGUGCGACGCCGCGUGGGGGAAUGAAGGUCUUCGGAUUGUAAACCCCUGUCAUGUGGGAGCAAAUUAAAAAGAUAGUACCACAAGAGGAAGAGACGGCUAACUCUGUGCCAGCAGCCGCGGUAAUACAGAGGUCUCAAGCGUUGUUCGGAAUCACUGGGCGUAAAGCGUGCGUAGGCGGUUUCGUAAGUCGUGUGUGAAAGGCGCGGGCUCAACCCGCGGACGGCACAUGAUACUGCGAGACUAGAGUAAGGGAGGGGGAACCGGAAUUCCCGGUGUAGCAGUGAAAUGCGUAGAUAUCGAGAGGAACACUCGUGGCGAAGGCGGGUUCCUGGACAUUAACUGACGCUGAGGCACGAAGGCCAGGGGAGCGAAAGGGAUUAGAUACCCGUGUAGUC